CAGCCGCCGCGGGAAUACGGAGGGAGCUAGCGUUGUUCGGAAUUACUGGGCGUAAAGCGCACGUAGGCGGCUUUGUAAGUUAGAGGUGAAAGCCUGGAGCUCAACUCCAGAACUGCCUUUAAGACUGCAUCGCUUGAAUCCAGGAGAGGUGAGUGGAAUUCCGAGUGUAGAGGUGAAAUUCGUAGAUAUUCGGAAGAACACCAGUGGCGAAGGCGGCUCACUGGACUGGUAUUGACGCUGAGGUGCGAAAGCGUGGGGAGCAAACAGGAUUAGAUACCCGGGUAGUCCCUGUCUCUUAUAC
RNAcentral lists this ribosomal RNA (301 nucleotides) under uncultured bacterium. RNAcentral describes it as "partial 16S ribosomal RNA". It matches the Rfam family "Bacterial small subunit ribosomal RNA", at positions 509 to 807 of the family's 1533-position model. The record is from RNAcentral.